Molecule: long non-coding RNA, 2844 nt
Organism: Formica exsecta
Lineage: Eukaryota; Metazoa; Arthropoda; Insecta; Hymenoptera; Formicidae
Exons: 2
Source: RefSeq, a predicted model, not a curated record
GUUAUGAAAAGUUGCUUUAAAUAACUUUGAAUAUUUUUAAUUGUUUGUUUCACAUCACAUCACGCAUGUUGAGCUAAGCAGAAGCUUUGUUGAUAUUAUGCCGAAUCUGCGAUACAUGCAUGUUGCACUAAUGAAAAACAUUUUUAUAAAGCAACGAAUUAUUAACAUUAAUGCCGUAGAAUUAAUUAUACUUCGUGUUUAAUCGUACAUUUGUAACAUCAUUUGAAAAUCUAUUUCAUAAUUGCAAAAUAAAGGAGAAUAGAUUUUGGCUGAAUUAACUUUCCUGGGUAGAAAUCAGGCAAUUUGCCAGAUAUCUGUCGACCUUGGAAGAACGAAUUAUUCGAGUUAUUAAUAAUAAUUUGUAAAAUAUUAUAUUUAACUUAACAUCUGCCUUUACUUGAAUAUAUUACAGCAAUAAAAACGUAUGUAUUUUUUGUAUUAGUUUAUUAUAGUAAUUAAUACAAUAAUUAAUUAUUGGAGUGCAUGAAUGCUUAUAUUUAACAUUUAUUAAUAGACAAAAAUAAAAAAAUUAAAAUAUUUAUAUGUAUUUACAGGAUAUACAUUGAUGUUGACAACACAAUGAAGUAACGGAUCAGUCAAACACACGUCAAUUAUAGCUACACACAAGAUAUAGAUAUUAAAAAAUAUAUAGUAAGAAUGCAAGACGCGUGGAUUCGUCGAUCUUUUGCAUCAUUUGUAAAUGAACUAAAUAAAAAUUUGGUAUCUGCGACUUGUGUGAUUGCGUAGGAAUUUUUCUUCAGAAAGACAAUAAAAUGCCACAUGAUGACAAUAAUGUGCAAUAAUAACUGUGACAUUAUUAAUUUUAGCAAGACAUAAAGACACGAGAUUGCAAAGAUGGAUUAUAUUAAAUGUGGUCGCCUAAGUCAUGUGACGUUCAUUUGUAGUAUUCGCGAAGUGAGUUUCCCUCAAGUAAUAGUCUUCCGCGAGAGUAACUCGGUGGGGAUUCUUGACGUACAAGACACACGCCCCUACUUCGUGCUACAUCUAGCCGUAAUAGUAAUCUGUUGGAAGUCGAAGACGAAGGAACGAAGGGAAACCAUGAUCGUGCUUCUUCUAGGUGAUAUUGUAGUGAUUGUAUCAUUUAGUGAAACAGUGACAUUUGAAAGGAAAUUUGAAAGUGACAUUUAAAAGGAAGAAAUGUGAUUUUUGACAGAUUUUGCUGCCUUCGGUCAAGAAGAUACAUCCCUUGCACUAGUUAUUUUAUAGCGAGGUCUUUUCCACGUUCUCGACCGAAGUGCAGCCGCAUUCGAAUUGGACACAUUCGAAUUCAUUUUACCGCAACAUCGUAAAGAGUGCGCUGACACGCUCUUCCCCGUAUUAUUUCUGGCAUGACUGAAUCAUUGGCAGCUGGCUCGGGACGGAGCCAAAAUAGUUAACUACCUCGACCAGCUUCUUCCUUCGAAAUCACCGUGCUGACGAAGCGUCGAACGAAGGUGGUAGUCUGGGAGUCUGGGAUCAAAGACAGAGAGCUGGACCACGGAAAAGAAUAUCUCCUUGAUGAAUCAGCGUGCCCAUUUGUCCUCUUGAAAAGUGUACUAUCGUUCCAUCUUCAAGGUCGCCCAAAGCUGCUCGUACUUUUUUGCUCAUAAUGGCUCGCGUUUAAAACGCAAAGAACUGAAUUUAAUUCUUGAGAAUUCUUCUUUUCACCAGUUAGAUAUUUAGAAAUAACUGAGAAAGAAAAUUGAUGCAUGUAUUCUUUGAAAAUAUACUCGUUCAAUUCGAUGUGUGAAAUUUUCGACGGCUGGGAACAAAUAUUCAAAAUUUUUGAUGUUCACGUAGAAUUUAUAAUCCACAUAAAUUUCUGAUGAAUAGCAGAUAUUCUUAGCGAUAUAUGUAACACGCUUAAGUAUUCUCCGUUUAAAGAUCCUAUCCGUGUAUAUCAUGCAACGCAUUUUAAAAUAUAAAAAAUCGUAUAAUAAACUUACAAACUAUUAAUUUUAAUAGAAUAAUAAUGAAAAGUAAAAGCGUUUAAAAUAUAAAGAUGGUAGACCAAUGCGGAUUAUAAGUCAGUUUUAAACAAUUCUUUAAAGCGUUUAUAAGCGAGAACAACCCACGAUUCGUCGUGGUCGAUGAAUCUUCGCGGAGUUCCAAGCCGGCGGCCAAAUAUAGCUAGGUAAUGUAAUACACAUCACGUGUUCAAAAAUAGCUUAAGAAAAGGGCCUAGCCGAGUGUGCACACGACACUUCAUCUGCUUUUCCGCUCGGAACGUGUGCCGCCUGACAGAAACGUUAACAUAAAUAUACGUGUAUAUAUCUGCGAACUUGUUAUUUAUAAAAAUAUCUAUUAUAUAAACGCAAGUCAAACCGGUUAUGUGCUUCCGCGAUAGUUUUUCUAUCGAAGAGAAAUGAACAAAAAAAUCUUCAUUUCUAUUUUAUAGCAGCUUUCUUUUUUUAUAAACUUUUUGCUAUGUUUUUUCCUCUUCACGUAUGAUACACCCCAGAGAAUUCAACGGAAGCACGUUCUCCGUUACAAAGAUCCAACGGUAUACAGAUAUAGUUUUAUUUCACCACGAAAAGAGUAUCGAGUGUAACGAUCUCGAAUAAUUUAUCGUAUAGUGCGAACUUUAUAGACAUAUUACAUUAAUAAUUAUGCAGUUUUUACACAUAUUUUACGACAUAUUGAUCCUGACCUGAAUCUUCAAUUGCCACAAAGAUUCUCUUAUAUAAGAUGGUCGCGAUAAAAUCGUCAUUUACGACGACAUAUUAUAAUCAUUAGGCGACGGUCGUCGAAACGGCAACAAACGAGACUUGGACGUACUUACAACAUUCGGUUUUAUUGCGAUUUUCAUUGUACAAUAAUAAAUAUUCGAUUAGUAAAUUGUUA